RNAcentral lists this ribosomal RNA (354 nucleotides) under uncultured bacterium. RNAcentral's name for it is "bacterial SSU rRNA". It matches the Rfam family "Bacterial small subunit ribosomal RNA", at positions 8 to 350 of the family's 1533-position model. The record is from RNAcentral.
AGAGUUUGAUCCUGGCUCAGGAUGAACGCUAGCUACAGGCUUAACACAUGCAAGUCGAGGGGAAACGGACAUCGAAAGCUUGCUUUUGAUGGGCGUCGACCGGCGCACGGGUGAGUAACGCGUAUCCAACCUGCCCACCACUUGGGGAUAACCUUGCGAAAGUAAGACUAAUACCCAAUGACGUCUCUAGAAGACAUCUGAAAGAGAUUAAAGAUCUAUCGGUGAUGGAUGGGGAUGCGUCUGAUUAGCUUGUUGGCGGGGUAACGGCCACAAGGCGACGAUCGAGUAGGGGUUCUGAGAGGAAGGUCCCCCACAUUGGAACUGAGACACGGUCCAAACUCCGUACGGGAGGCA